Long non-coding RNA from Thalassophryne amazonica, 436 nucleotides. RefSeq lists it as uncharacterized. The transcript is spliced from 3 exons. Lineage: Eukaryota; Metazoa; Chordata; Actinopteri; Batrachoidiformes; Batrachoididae. The record is from RefSeq and is a predicted model, not a curated record.
CUGGUCUACAGUCGAAAUGCUUCUGAAAUAAAUGUAGACAAACUUUACUCAUUUUGGGCCACUGAGAAUGAAAAUGAUGUUUGAAAUGGUGGAUUGGCUCUAGUUUUAAAAUAUGUUACGACUAUGCUACUAAGAGUUACCUUCUGAUGAUGUUUAAAGGGUUACAAAAAAAACAGGUGAAAUAUUAUUAUAUGAACAGUCAGAGAAACAUGAAAAGACCUAUGUGUACAAUUUAUCAUAAAAACUCUACUAUCAACACAAUACAAUUAUGUAGACUUAAAAUGUAAAAAGCAUAAAUAUCUUAAAAACAGUAGCCAACCAGUCAUUUUUAUUGUCAUAUUUGAAUUCAGCGUGCCAAAAUCCAUAGUAAAUAGCACAUUAUAUUUCUGAAGCAGACAACGUCUUAAAAUUUGUAGACUGGAAUAAUUCUUGCAGA